This 253-nucleotide ribosomal RNA is filed under the name uncultured bacterium. RNAcentral's name for it is "partial 16S ribosomal RNA". It matches the Rfam family "Bacterial small subunit ribosomal RNA", at positions 524 to 776 of the family's 1533-position model. The record is from RNAcentral.
UACGGAGGGUGCAAGCGUUAUCCGGAUUCACUGGGUUUAAAGGGUGCGUAGGUGGGUAGGUAAGUCAGUGGUGAAAUCCCCGAGCUUAACUCGGGAACUGCCGUUGAUACUAUCUAUCUUGAAUAUCGUGGAGGUAAGCGGAAUAUGUCAUGUAGCGGUGAAAUGCUUAGAUAUGACAUAGAACACCCAUUGCGAAGGCAGCUUACUACACGAUCAUUGACACUGAGGCACGAAAGCGUGGGGAGCAAACAGG